AGCACAGUUACGUCUGUUGCCACAUGUCAACAUGUAGACACAUGGAAGUUAUGUCAGCAUCUCUACUGACUUUUGUGUACCAGUGCUAUGUCUCACAAUACUGAAGGCACUCUCAGAACUCCUGGUGGAGUCCCAGACAUUUGAGACGUGAAGCUCUAAAUGUAGAACUCUCAGCUCCUUCUUCAGCACAAUGUUUGUCUGUGCGCGCCAUGCUUACCUCUAUGAUGAUGACAGAAUGAACCUCUGUACUGUUAGCGACAACUCUAACAAAUUAAAUUAUGAGAUGGAGUGAAGCACCACCAGCACCAGCACCACCACUACUACCACUGCCAUCAGUUGGUACAACCACCACCUCCACCUCCAAACCCUUCUGGAACCUGGGUUCCACCAACAAAACUUCCUGAAGUUUAAAUGGAAGUUCCCUGAAUGGAUGAAUAAAACUGCUCCCAGAAAA
Molecule: long non-coding RNA, 454 nt
Organism: Mastomys coucha (southern multimammate mouse)
Lineage: Eukaryota; Metazoa; Chordata; Mammalia; Rodentia; Muridae
Exons: 4
Source: RefSeq, a predicted model, not a curated record